Molecule: long non-coding RNA, 895 nt
Filed under: Homo sapiens (human)
Lineage: Eukaryota; Metazoa; Chordata; Mammalia; Primates; Hominidae
Description: non-protein coding lnc-TBX15-5:1
Source: RNAcentral
CUGCACUCAAUGCGGAAAGCGCGUGAGCGCUGGAGCUUCAUCCGGGCACUUCAUAAGGGAUCCGCAGCUGCUCCCGCUCUCCAGGGAAAGUACAUGCCUUCCCUCGCCUAAGGUCUACUCGUCUAUGACUGUCGGCCUGCUCAGAGCGUAGUGACGUUGCAAGGAUACGUGAUGACGUAAAGGUUUCUUGGUGGAAAAAGCGCGCCGCUUUCUGACCUCUUGCCGCCACCUCCAGUUCUGGGAGCGGAGCGCCGCCGCUGUUGCCGGGCAACGCGGUGAGCCUACCCCGCGUGUGAUGUUUUCAGAGACGGGUUGUUUUAGAGACUGCUCUUCUUGUGGUCUUAUUACUGUUUUUACCCUCCUUACCCUAACAACACGCUAAGGGGCUAUCGGAGAGAGUAGAGAAGUUUUGUUAGGCAUUGGGCAGCUUGGGUCGGGGCAGCAGGUUGGCAGUGUGGUACUUGAGCAAGUGUCAGUGCAUCUUCCAUUCUGGUUGCUCCUGGUGGCUCCACAGCACUGCUCUAUCUAGCAGGCUGUGAAAGAGUGACCGCAAGCUGCUACAGAGUUUGUCCUGUCCUGCGCUUGACAACACUGCUGUUACCAUUAAUCUCGUCGUACGGAGACCAUGUCGCGGCCUGGUCUUAUUGGGAAUUGUCUUAAAUAUUUGGAAUUUUACCCUCAUAGCAAAAAAGUCAGGGGGAGGGGAUACCCUUUCAGUUAUUCAGGAUUUUACCAAACGUCUUCCAAGUACAGUCUCAGUGGCAAGCACUUUGACAUACUUUAUCUACGGGAGAUAUAUUCUGGGAACUAGAGAGAAAGGAGAGAAUGUGAUUUUAUUAGGUAAUUUCCCGGCAUCAUUUGCAUAUGUAUUGCCAUAAUGAGUAGGUGUGAGGAU